UGACUUUCCAGCUCGCUAAUAAGGAAUCUUUAGUUUCAUUUCAUGUCUGCAGGAGUGGAUCCGAAGUCUCUUCAAGAUGCUGACAAUUUAGUGGCAGGCCCUGUGCAUUGUCCAAGGGCAGGAAAGGUACUGGCACCUUCCUUGUCUUGGCCAGAAGAGAGAGCAGAGGAACAUAUGCAUGGUCUUGGCAUAGGACAGAUGUGCAGUCUGCAGACAUACAUUCUCUCUGGCGAUCCAAUUUGUCCCCUUUUCCUACAAUUUCUUCCUUUUUUUUUUUUUUUUUUUUUAUUCCCUAAUUAACGCAGGUAAUGAAUUGCAUAUGGCCACGGCAUUUACUUCUCUGUGUGAAAUCUGUAGCAGCUGCAUUGUUUAUCAGUUCAAUAUGCUUACUACAGAUGCCAUUUCUGUGUGACAAUUAAGUUGUUUAAAACCUCUUUUUCCCACCCGCUACGUCCCUCCCCAGCCUUCCCAUCUUCUUUCCAACAAGCAUCAUUGUAACCUGAUUCCUUUCCCAGGCUGAUGCCACACUCCAGCUAAAAGCUCUAUUUGCCGGAGGUCUGAGCCUUGUGUGGUCAUUUAAACUGAUGGAAAGUUCUGAAAUGUUACUGCAUUUGCACCCCCACCAAGACCAAGUUAAACUGACCACCCAAGGUGCAAAUGAUGGAAAAUCAGACUCAGAGCCUUUUGCAUGAGACUAACACGAAUUGAUUUACCUCCUUUCAUUUAACCACGAGUGGAUCCUACAUGUCUUUGGAGAAAUAUUGUGCUCUUCAGACCUUUUCAAGUAUAAUGACAUCUGAAAUGUACAUACUUUACCAGUGCUAUUGAACUGGACUCUGAAAUAAUCUUUGAACCACGUCAAUAUGGCAAAACACACAGAGGGGGCAUGAUUUACUGAGACCAUAAUUAAACAUUGAAUUUGACUCUCCUCUGGGCUCAGCUGAAUUCCCGUCAGCAGCCUCUACAGCAAAUUGUUGCAACCUAAUGUCCUAUGUGUUUGGAUUUUGUUAAUUUAUUUCCUGUACCUCAUUUUCCUGGAACGAGUGCAGUUAUUUAUGGCACAGCAGCAAACACUUUACAUUUAUGGGGGGUUAUGAAUUUCAGUAAUGGGUUUUGUGGCAAUUUAAUCUGUCCCAACUAUGAGGCAUUUUACAAUGACAAUUAAAUUAUUAUUAAAAAAAUAAACCUCAAA
This 1192-nucleotide long non-coding RNA is filed under the name Anas platyrhynchos platyrhynchos (common mallard). RNAcentral describes it as "lncRNA (ENSAPLG00000028059.1)". Lineage: Eukaryota; Metazoa; Chordata; Aves; Anseriformes; Anatidae. The record is from RNAcentral.